This 1313-nucleotide long non-coding RNA is filed under the name Anser cygnoides (Swan goose). RNAcentral describes it as "lncRNA (ENSACDG00005019167.1)". Lineage: Eukaryota; Metazoa; Chordata; Aves; Anseriformes; Anatidae. The record is from RNAcentral.
AUUAUUUCAGGCUGUGAUCCUAGAAACUCGCGCACAGACGUGUGGCUUUAUGCUGAGGAAUAACCAUCCCAAUCAAGACGCCUUUGUUUGACUCUAAUUGCUUAUGCGCUUCAAAAUUUGCAUAAUUAGAUAAAAUUCGAAAUAAAAGAGGAGUAGGAAUAACGUGCACACAACUUGACCUUGAUUGCAGUUAGGCGCCGGCGGAGCUGCGGUUUAGCUGUGAUCAGCAGUUACGUCGGACUGUUCGCGUUGUGGGGAGGCUCGGCCUCACCGCUGGGAAGCCGACGGUGCCUCGGGCUGUGGCUGAACCUUUUAUUGCUCCUUCGGUGUUUAGUUGCACCAUAUAUUGUUUUUCUUGCUGUAUGUUUGAAAUUCCAACCCACGCCGUUUUCCGGAGGGCGUUGCUUGCUGGCUCGCAUGCUGGUGGUCAUUGUGGCUUAUCUUCCCCCUUCAGCAUGGACUUGUUUUAGCGCUGGUUAUUGAUAUAGGUGUUUUGAAAGCGUUGCUGAAAUCAACGUGAACAACAUCCCUUGUUUUUCCCAUGCCCACUGCUCCAGUCACCGCCCCCAGCAGUUCAGCACGGGUGGGCGCAGUGUGUCCGCAGUAAAGCCAUCCCCGUUCCCUUCUCGCCUUUCGUGCCCCUGGAAAUGACUUCUGUGGGGCUCUGAAGAUCCAUGGUCUCCCCAGCGGCUGAGGUGGGGCUCGCCCUGUUUGGGGUUGGAACACUGUUUGCCUUUUUCCAGCCCUGGGGAGGCUCCCCUGGUCUCCGUGAGCCUGGAAAGGAGCUGAGACAUUUCCAGCUCCUUCAGCACCGUUGGAGGCCUCCUGCCCUCCAGCUGGGAUGAGCAGUGAUGAGAGCGCACUGCACAACAGUAAGCGCAGACUUUGGCAAAUACAGGUAUUUUUGUUUUGCUUUCGAAGGGUGAUCUUUUGUUUCAUUCUCUCCCUUUCUAUCUCACAGCCUGUGUGUUUGCAGAGCUUUUCUCCGGUCUCCUGCCUGUGCCUUUGCCUCCUUGGGCUUUGUCUCUGUCUCCAGUGCCUGAUGUGUCUUCCAGCAAAUAGCACAUGUUUGCUGGCAUAUGGACCUGCUUGUCUCCUGUACCAAAGCGUGGAGGAUGGCCUCAGCAAAACGCAGCCCCCAGAAGCAUGCAGCAGGGCGAGCAGGUCCAUGGGGCAGGGACCCCAGACCUGGGGUCCUUACCAGCCACCCAGGAUAACCGCGCAGAGCAGCGGUCCCAGCUGAGGGCCGGCUCCCUUGUGACUGCAGAGUUGCCUGAUAUGUGAAACAUGAAAUAAAGCCUGGAAUUACUGCA